Acanthosepion pharaonis is the source of this 114-nucleotide non-coding RNA. The record is from the annotation of a GenBank genome assembly. Lineage: Eukaryota; Metazoa; Mollusca; Cephalopoda; Sepiida; Sepiidae.
UUAUGGCCAUAUCACGUUGGAACACCGGUUCUCGUACGAUCACCGAAGUUAAGCAACGUCGAGCCUGGUCAGUAACUAGAUGGGUGAUUCCUUGGUAAUACCAGGUGCUGUAAG